CCUUCUAGCGGGUUAAUACAUUGGAGGCGAGGUAAAUUGUAAUAAAAAAAAAUAAUACUGUUGGAAAAAAUAAGAGAUCUAAGUGGUGCAAACAAAUGCAGCUUUGCACAUGAAAACAGAUUUUUCGCACACCAGUUCCGUUAUUCUCCUUACCCUUAUCUUUGUUUGAUCGGUUAAAGAAUAAACAAGAACAACAACUGCAUCAGUGAGUUAACCAAAUUUGAAAAGAGCGUAUGAAGAAUUCGGAUCCGCAGAGAAAUAAUGUGUGUGGAAGAGCGUUAGAAAAUAACAUGAAUUAGGAGAAUUUGGCAGUACCAACGAGCACCAAAUUUGAAAAGAGCGUAAGAAGAUAUUCGAAUUCGAUUGGCUUAAGAGAAUUUGUUAGUACAAAUAGCACCAAAUUUGAGAUAAAUAUAGCUGACUUUUAGUCAGAGGCAGUACCAAGAGAACAUACCGAAACAAAGUAUACACACACGUAUAUGCGAAAAUAUAUAUAUUGUAGCAUAUGUGCCAUAGUAUAACACUUGACUACAUUUACUUACACACACACACAUACAUUACUAAAUAGCAACAGCCAUACACCAAAUCAUAGAAUGCCUUAGGAUAUAAGUCAUAAAUUCAAGUAUUCCAUAAGAACGCUAAAUACAUAAUGAACUAUAUCAACGACCAUGACGGAGAGUGUAAUACAGCCUUUUCUUUAUGAUACUAUCGACAAGUCUCUUUUGCUUUUGAAAUUUAUCUCAUAGUCGAGGAAAUCCCCACAGUGGUAAAGAAGUAAACUUCUUCAUCUUGUGGAACCAUAGUUUCAAACUGCGGCAUUCUCAUUACCUGACGCUGCUAAAUGGAUAUUUCUCGCCAAAGCAAAAUUCCAGUUUUGAGAGGCAUUUGUUUAGGAGUUUUGGCCCCACAGAAGGUGAGACGUUCGCAAAGUUUGUCUUAAGGCUGCGGCAUCAAUUACCGAAAUGUGAUUUUGGAGUUAUUAAAGCAGAAAUCGAAGAUAUCUAUUAUAUUAUAUUAUUAGAAAAAGAAUACACCCUUUCACAAAUGAUAUAAUUGACAGGCAUAAAGUCGAUGAGGAAAUUAAUAAACCGUCGGAAAUGAUGCGAUCUGAAACGAUAAAGGACCCAGAAACCGAAGGAGUAAGGACAAUCUCAACAGGGCAUAUGAAUUCAAAUAGAUCUUUGGAGCAAUAGUUCGGCAUGUCCAGCCAAAAACCAAAAAUGCAGCAAGUACUCUCAAGUGCAGAACAACAUAGUUUUAGAGGCUAUGCUACACAAGAAUUGCUGCACGUAAUUUGCGUUUUUGAAGCUCCCAUAUCAAUUGGUUUAAAUUGGUGCUUGCUUCAUUUUUUGUAAUAAAAAAACGGAACACAAUCACUAUUGGAAAAAAUUAACGGCAGUCAAAUUAAAUGUCUUACGUUUAGGACUCGAAGUAAAGAAAAUGAAAAAUGUGACGCCGUUUCCAAAGUGGAAGGGACAGGCGGUAAAAUUAUCAAUCGAUGCAACCAACAAACCGAUUCAGCAAGCAAUAUAACAGUUGCAUUUGAGGACAAAGUAAGCAAAUUUGGAAGAAGCUGUGGGUCUUGAAUUUAUUGAGCCAGUAAUAGGUCAUAUACCGUGGAUAUCACCUAUGAUUAUAGUAUUCAAAUAGACUGGCGACAUCAGAAUUUGCAUAGACAUGAGGCUUGCGUCAAAGAUGUUCUUUAAGUAAACAAUGUAACCUUGAAUGACGAAAAAUGUGUUUGGAAAACACAGCAAGUUAAAUUCUUGGUGCACAUUUUUCAGACAAAGGCAUUAAAGUAGAUCGAAAAGGUGGCAACGAUUCCUUCAUUCAGAGACUCAAAAAACAAGGAGGUUACCCGACCUAAAGCUCCAUUUGGCGAAAAUUCCGACCUUAUCAUACUUCGAUCCAAACAAUAGAACACGCCUAAUAGCAGACGACACUCCAGUUGCGUUAGGAAAUUCUAUACCACCGGCGAUCAAAAGAUUGUUUGCAAGACGCUGCCAAUCAGACGUAGAAAAACGGUACUCUCAGACCGAGAAAGAAAGCCUGUGAGCAGUUGAAAAGUUUAGUUUUUAUUUAGCCGGACUAGAAUUCAAAUUGGUGACUGACCACAAGUCGUUGG
Drosophila simulans is the source of this 2125-nucleotide long non-coding RNA. RefSeq lists it as uncharacterized. Lineage: Eukaryota; Metazoa; Arthropoda; Insecta; Diptera; Drosophilidae. The transcript is spliced from 3 exons. The record is from RefSeq and is a predicted model, not a curated record.